GUCAGCUCGUGUCGUGAGAUGUUGGGUUAAGUCCCGCAACGAGCGCAACCCUCGCUGCCAGUUGAUUACUCUGGCGGGACCGCCGGGACAAACCCGGAGGAAGGUGGGGAUGACGUCAAGUCAGCACGGCUCUUACGCCUGGGGCUACACACACGCUACAAUGGCCGGUACAGAGGGCCGCUAAGCCGCGAGGCGGAGCAAAUCCCAGAAAGCCGGUCUCAGUUCGGAUUGCAGGCUGCAACUCGCCUGCAUGAAGUCGGAGUUGCUAGUAAUCGCGGAUCAGCACGCCGCGGUGAAUACGUUCCCGGGCCUUGUACACACCGCCCGUCACACCACGAAAGCAUGCAACACCCGAAGCCGGUGAGCUAACCCUUUACUGGGAGGCAGCCGUCGAAGGUGGGGCAAGUGAUUGGGGUGAAGUCGUAACAAGGUAGCCGUAUCGGAAGGUGCGGCUGGAUCACCUCCUUU
This 468-nucleotide ribosomal RNA is filed under the name Chloroflexota bacterium. RNAcentral's name for it is "bacterial SSU rRNA". It matches the Rfam family "Bacterial small subunit ribosomal RNA", at positions 1054 to 1533 of the family's 1533-position model. The record is from RNAcentral. Lineage: Bacteria; Bacillati; Chloroflexota.